GAAAAGUUCUUCCUUGAAACAAGAAUGGGUAGGGAGGGAGAGGAGAAGUAGAAACAAAUCCUUCUGACCUUGAAGAUCUUCCCUACCCUGCAAAAAGAGGUUGAGAGAGAGCAUUGAACUUGGGGCUAGAAGACCUGGAGUCCACGUGAUUUGGGGGCUGCCAUAACAACGUACCUCAAACUGCGUGGCUUAAACAACAGAAAUGUAUUUUCUCACAGCUCUGGAGCUGGAAGUCUGAGUCCAAGGUGCUGGCAGGAAUUUAUCCUGACGGAUAACCAGGGAAAUGUACAAGAAUGUCCAUCAUAUUAUUGUUCAUAAUGAUGAAAAAUUGGAAGCCAUCUUAAUGUCCAUCAUUAGAGAACACUGAUUUACUUAGACAUUGAAUAUUAUGCAACCCUAAAAAAGGUACUUCUUCAUGCACAUUGCCAGCAUGAUGUCCACAACAGCCAGGAG
RNAcentral lists this long non-coding RNA (453 nucleotides) under Equus asinus (donkey). RNAcentral describes it as "lncRNA (ENSEASG00005025255.1)". Lineage: Eukaryota; Metazoa; Chordata; Mammalia; Perissodactyla; Equidae. The record is from RNAcentral.